RNAcentral lists this ribosomal RNA (255 nucleotides) under uncultured bacterium. RNAcentral describes it as "partial 16S ribosomal RNA". It matches the Rfam family "Bacterial small subunit ribosomal RNA", at positions 524 to 777 of the family's 1533-position model. The record is from RNAcentral.
UACGAGGGGGGCAAGCGUUUGUUCGGAAUUAUUGGGCGUAAAGGGCGCGUAGGCGGUGCGGUAAGUCUGAUGUGAAAUCUCCGGGCUCAACUCGGAGUCUGCAUCAGAAACUGCCGUGCUCGAGUGUGGGAGAGGUGAGUGGAAUUCCCGGUGUAGCGGUGAAAUGCGUAGAUAUCGGGAGGAACGCCUGUGGCGAAAGCGGCUCACUGGACCACAACUGACGCUGAGGCGCGAAAGCUAGGGGAGCAAACAGGG